GUUGUAUAGUCAAGUAAUUAAGUGCAUGUGGUGGAUGCCUUGGCAGUCAGAGGCGAUGAAAGACGUGAUAGCCUGCGAAAAGCUCCGGGGAGGCGGCAAAUAUCCUUUGAUCCGGAGAUGUCUGAAUGGGGGAACCCACCUACUUUAAGGUAGGUAUUGCAACAUGAAUACAUAGUGUUGCAAGGCGAACGAGGGGAAGUGAAACAUCUCAGUACCCUUAGGAAAAGAAAUCAAUUGAGAUUCCCUCAGUAGCGGCGAGCGAACGGGGAUCAGCCCAUUAAGUUAUGUGUGUUUUAGUGGAACGCUCUGGGAAGUGCGAACGUAGAGGGUGAUAUUCCCGUACACGAAAGGGCACACAUAAUGAUGACGAGUAGGGCGAGGCACGUGAAACCUUGUCUGAAUAUGGGGGGACCAUCCUCCAAGGCUAAAUACUCCUGACUGACCGAUAGUGAACCAGUACCGUGAGGGAAAGGCGAAAAGAACCCCUGUGAGGGGAGUGAAAUAGAUCCUGAAACCGCAUGCAUACAAGCAGUGGGAGCACCUUCGUGGUGUGACUGCGUACCUUUUGUAUAAUGGGUCAGCGACUUAUAUUCAGUAGCAAGGUUAACCGUAUAGGGGAGCCGUAGAGAAAUCGAGUCUUAAUAGGGCGUUUAGUUGCUGGGUAUAGACCCGAAACCAGGCGAUCUAUCCAUGAGCAGGUUGAAGGUUGGGUAACACUAACUGGAGGACCGAACCCACUGUCGUUGAAAAGCCAGGGGAUGACUUGUGGAUAGGGGUGAAAGGCUAAUCAAGCCUGGUGAUAGCUGGUUCUCCCCGAAAGCUAUUUAGGUAGCGCCUCGGACGAAUACCAUAGGGGGUAGAGCACUGUUUCGGCUAGGGGGUCAUCCCGACUUACCAAACCGAUGCAAACUCCGAAUACCUAUGAGUACUAUCCGGGAGACAGACUGCGGGUGCUAACGUCCGUAGUCAAGAGGAAAACAAUCCAGACCGCCAGCUAAGGCCCCAAAAUCAUAGUUAAGUGGGAAACGAUGUGGGAAGGCAUAGACAGCUAGGAGGUUGGCUUAGAAGCAGCCACCCUUUAAAGAAAGCGUAAUAGCUCACUAGUCGAGUCGGCCUGCGCGGAAGAUGUAACGGGGCUAAAACUAUGUGCCGAAGCUGCGGAUNNNNNNNNNNNNNNNNNNNNNNNNNNNNNAUGCUGGAGGUAUCAGAAGUGCGAAUGCUGACGUGAGUAACGACAAAACGGGUGAAAAACCCGUUCGCCGAAAGACCAAGGGUUCCAGUCCAACGUUAAUCGGGGCUGGGUGAGUCGACCCCUAAGGCGAGGCCGAAAGGCGUAGUCGAUGGGAAAAUGGUUAAUAUUCCAUUACUUCUGUGUAAUGCGAUGAGAGGACGGAGAAGGCUAAAUCAGCCUGGCGUUGGUUGUCCAGGUGAAAGGAUGUAGGCAUGUAUCUUAGGCAAAUCCGGGGUACUCUAUGCUGAGAUCUGAUAGCAAGCUGUACUUGUACAGCGAAGUGGUUGAUGCCAUGCUUCCAGGAAAAGUCUCUAAGCUUCAGUUACACAGGAAUCGUACCCGAAACCGACACAGGUGGUCAGGUCGAGUAGACCAAGGCGCUUGAGAGAACUCUGCUGAAGGAACUAGGCAAAAUGGUACCGUAACUUCGGGAGAAGGUACGCUGUUGUUGGUGAUGGAACUCGCUUCCUGAGCUGACGACAGCCGCAGAAACCAGGCCGCUGCAACUGUUUAUUAAAAACAUAGCACUCUGCAAACACGAAAGUGGACGUAUAGGGUGUGAUGCCUGCCCGGUGCUGGAAGGUUAAUUGAUGGGGUUAGCGUAAGCGAAGCUCUUGAUCGAAGCCCCAGUAAACGGCGGCCGUAACUAUAACGGUCCUAAGGUAGCGAAAUUCCUUGUCGGGUAAGUUCCGACCUGCACGAAUGGCAUAAUGAUGGCGGCGCUGUCUCCAGCAGAGGCUCAGUGAAAUCGAAAUCGCUGUGAAGAUGCAGUGUACCCGCGGCUAGACGGAAAGACCCCGUGAACCUUUACUGCAGCUUGACACUGAACUUUGACCUUACUUGUGUAGGAUAGGUGGGAGGCUUUGAAGCUGGAACGCUAGUUCCAGUGGAGCCGUCCUUGAAAUACCACCCUGGUAAUGUUGAGGUUCUAACUCUGUCCCGUGAUCCGGGACGAGGACCGUGUCUGGUGGGUAGUUUGACUGGGGCGGUCUCCUCCUAAAGAGUAACGGAGGAGUACGAAGGUGCGCUCAGCGUGGUCGGAAAUCACGCGUAGAGUAUAAAGGCAAAAGCGCGCUUAACUGCGAGACCCACAAGUCGAGCAGGUACGAAAGUAGGUCUUAGUGAUCCGGUGGUUCUGUAUGGAAGGGCCAUCGCUCAACGGAUAAAAGGUACUCUGGGGAUAACAGGCUGAUACCGCCCAAGAGUUCAUAUCGACGGCGGUGUUUGGCACCUCGAUGUCGGCUCAUCUCAUCCUGGGGCUGAAGCAGGUCCCAAGGGUAUGGCUGUUCGCCAUUUAAAGAGGUACGCGAGCUGGGUUUAGAACGUCGUGAGACAGUUCGGUCCCUAUCUACCGUGGGCGCUGGAAAUUUGAGAGGAUCUGCUCCUAGUACGAGAGGACCAGAGUGGACGAACCUCUGGUGUACCGGUUGUGACGCCAGUCGCAUCGCCGGGUAGCUAUGUUCGGAAGGGAUAACCGCUGAAAGCAUCUAAGCGGGAAGCCUACCUCAAGAUAAGAUUUCCCUAGGACUUUAUGUCCUCUAAAGAGCCGUUCGAGACUAGGACGUUGAUAGGUUGGAUGUGGAAGCAUAGUGAUAUGUGAAGCUGACCAAUACUAAUUGCUCGUGAGGCUUGACUAUACAACACCCAAGCAGUUG
RNAcentral lists this ribosomal RNA (2886 nucleotides) under Acinetobacter baumannii. RNAcentral describes it as "23S ribosomal RNA". It matches the Rfam family "Bacterial large subunit ribosomal RNA". Lineage: Bacteria; Pseudomonadati; Pseudomonadota; Gammaproteobacteria; Moraxellales; Moraxellaceae. The record is from RNAcentral.